UUUAAAUAGAUGACACUGAAGAAGCAGCUGAUCUUCUUUCAGCAGACAGAAACUUCAGGCUAAAGCGAAAAUCUUCGAAGUCAAAGCAAGCACCGGAACCACCACCAACAAAUACUCCAAAGAAGAAUGUUGAAACAAAAUUACCUGAGCAAGAACAGAAAACUGCUAAAGAUCGGAAAAUACCUCCACCACGACCUUCAAAGGGGCCUGCAAAUGAUUAAUGGUUAGAUAUUAAUAGAGAUAUUGAUGUCUUCAUAAGGUUCAAAAGGUUCAGGUGAAAAAGUUCCAUGAGAACCUGAUUCAGAAGUUUAAAAGACAGAACAUGAAAGAAACACAAAAUAUAUGUGAAGUAUUUUGCAUAUUAUUUUCAUGGAAAUUGAUUUGCUCAUUUUGUAUUUAUAUUAU
Molecule: long non-coding RNA, 405 nt
Organism: Saccostrea cuccullata (small rock oyster)
Lineage: Eukaryota; Metazoa; Mollusca; Bivalvia; Ostreida; Ostreidae
Exons: 4
Source: RefSeq, a predicted model, not a curated record